AAAACGCGCAUAAAAUCACAACACAGAGAUCUCCCGCCCCUUUACAUAAGUACUCAAAAUUACCGGCCAAAGAAAAUAAAGUACUGAACCUGGUUUCCAUUGAGCAUAAAUAUCUUGAGCAUUCUCUCCCUUUUGCGAUUUCCUCUUUUCUAUAAUUUGUACGGCUAACCAUCACUGCUUUCUCCGGCGAAAUCAAGUUGCUGGUAUCCUUGGAACAGUAUGAGAUUCUGGUUGGCGAGAAACUUCUAGCACUCUUCCGUACCAUGAAGUUUACAUGUUUAAGUGAGGGCAGGGGCUAUUAUUUCCCACCAUGCCACAUAGUCAAUAUAAGUGGCUUCCGGGUGUUAUUUGACUGCCCUUUGGACCUUUCAGCACUCGCGGUCUUCUCUCCCCUACCAAUUGUUACAUCUUCUCUGCUUGAUGAAAAAACUUCAAAUGUUAGUGGCCAAAGUUCAUCAAAUUCAGAGUCUGUAAGACGGGAAGUUGGGGAGUUUCUUGAUUCCAAAAGUUUGAUACAGGCUGAGCCUUGGUACAAAACUGUGAAAAGCUUGCAGCUUUGGAGUAUUUAUUCCAUAGAUGUGAUACUAAUCUCAAGUCCGAUGGGUAUGCUAGGGUUACCAUUUCUUACCCGCCUCAAAGAUUUUAGAUCGAAGGUAUAUGUAACGGAAGCAGCUUCCAGACUAGGGAAACUGAUGAUGGAGGACCUUGUUUUCAUGCAUAUGGAGUUGAGACAAUUUUAUGGACCUGAAGAGUCUGGUUGCCCUCAAUGGAUGAUAUGGGAAAAGCUUGAACUACUACCUAUGGCACUAAAGGAUAUUGUUUUAGGCAGUAAAGGGACAGAACUUGGUGGAUGGAUGCCCAUAUACAGUGCAGCUGAUAUCAAGGGUUGCAUGGAGAAGGUUCAAUCCCUUAAGUAUGCUGAAGAAGCCUGCUAUAAUGGCACAUUGACCAUAAAAGCGUUCAGCUCUGGUUUGGAGAUAGGUGCUUGUAAUUGGAAUAUCCUAAGUCCAAAAGGAAGCAUCACUUAUCUUUCUGGCUCAGUUUUUGCAUCGACAACUGCUUCCAGUUUUGAUUACCAAGCUCUUGAAGGAAGUGAUGUUCUAUUAUAUUCAGACUUCACAGCCUGCAAUGAUGUUGAUAGUGAAAAGAAUGAUUUCCCUCCUGCUACUGCCAGUUCCUAUCCAAGUGAUACUGGUAGUUGUUGGGAAACAAUAACCGAGUCCUGGCUUGAUUCAGAUGAGUACUCAGAAGAGAUGGAAAAAGUAUCUUUUAUAUGUUCAUGUGCUUUGGACUCUGUUAAUGACGGAGGGUCAGUCCUUAUUCCCAUUGGACGGCCUGGAGUCAUGUUGAAGCUAUUGGAACAUGUAUCACUUUCGCUAGAAUCUUCAAAUUUGAAGGUUCCUAUAUAUUUUGUUUCUUCUGCAGCAGAAGAGUUAUUGGCAUUUUCCAAUAUCAUACCUGAAUGGCUGUCCAGUCAACGUCAAGAAAGACUCUAUUCUGGGCAACCUCUAUUUACUCAUAUUCAGCUGUCAAAGGAGAAAAAGCUCUUGGUAUCUCCAGCAAUUCAUUCAUUGAAAUUCCUAACAAGUUGGCAGGAACCUUGCAUAGCAUUUUGUCCUCACUGGAGUUUGCGACUUGGCCCUGUUGUUCAUCUCCUUCAACGUUGGUGUGCCGAUCCUAACUCGUUGCUUAUUAUGGAGGAAGGAGCUGAUAUCAAUUUGGCUAUUUUGCCUUUCAAGCCAAUGUCAAUGAAGGUCCUUCAAUGUUCGUUCAUCUCUGGAAUAAAGCUAAAGAGAGCUAUACCUUUACUAAAGAUACUACAACCUAAACAUGUGCUGGUUCCUGAGGGUUUGAGGCCCCAUAUUAGCUGUUGGAACCCCACAAUUUCAGUCAGUUAUUUCUCUGAAAAUGAAACUGUAGUUAUACCUAAGUUGAAAAAUUAUGCAGAUAUGUACAUUGCCAUGGACUUGGCUCCCGAGCUGCUCAAUUAUACAAAAGUAAUACAAGAAAAUAAUAUUGUAAGAUUAAAGGGAGAGUUGCUCGUUGAGCAGGGAAAACAUCAAUUAGUUAUUGGAAAUAAGCAAGUGCUUUCUUCACAAGACAAGCCAUUGUUAUUUCUGGGUAGAGUUGACGUGAACUCCCUUCUGAUGGCUCUAACGAAGAUGGGGAUGAAAGCAACUGCACAGCAUGCCCAGAUUACUAAUGGAUCAGAAAAUGCAUCAAUUGUAUGCAUCUCAGAGCCCAAUGAAGCCUUGAUAGAGGUUACAUCAACACGAACCAUGAUAACCGUUGCUGAUGAGAACACCGCUUCCCUGGUUAGUGAGGCUGUUCGUAGCACUUUAGUUUGUAUUUGAUAAAAGUUGGCCCUUAUAUAACCCUAGAUGUCAAUGGUUUAAGAAGAUUGACUGAUCGCUUAACAGCUUCUAGGAGGGAAAUUAUUUAUUGAACUGGGAGUUGAAACAAUGAAAGGUGUCUUUUCAGCUUUCUUUUUUCACCAUCGCCGUGUGGAUGGAUAUUGGAAGGGAAAAAUGCAUAUUGUCAAUAUGUGUUUAGUUCUGUUGAUUACACACGC
This is a non-coding RNA of Nicotiana tabacum (common tobacco), 2572 nucleotides long. The record is from RefSeq and is a predicted model, not a curated record. NCBI's taxonomy places the organism in Eukaryota, Viridiplantae, Streptophyta, Magnoliopsida, Solanales, Solanaceae.